Molecule: non-coding RNA, 336 nt
Organism: Coturnix japonica (Japanese quail)
Lineage: Eukaryota; Metazoa; Chordata; Aves; Galliformes; Phasianidae
Source: RefSeq, a predicted model, not a curated record
AGACAGUAGCUGCUUUAAGACUGAAUUUCAUUUAUUCAGGAGCUCUUUUAUGUCACUGUGGUCAUCAGAGGAAAUUCAGAAGAAGUGUAUGUGCUGAAGUGUAUUGUGCCUGAAUUCUCUUUUCAGGCACCCAGAAAAUCCUGUAUGUCUGCUUGACCCUGAUGAGUUAAGAUAAUAUACAGACAGAUGUGAAAAUACUUGAAGAAAUCAGGUAUUUGUGAUUAAAACAGCAUUAAUCAAAGGGACGUAUCUAGGACUUCUUCAAAGAAAGCUAAUGUUGAAGUGUUCAUUUCUCUGUUUUGCUUUCCCCUGGCAAACACAAAGAAGUACUUGCAG